CACACACACUCACUGACAUACAUACACUCACUCACUGACAGGCACACACACAGGCAGAUGCUCACUGACAGACACACACAGACACUCACUGACAUACAUACACUCACUCACUGGCAGACACACACACACUGACAGACAAACACACACACUCACUGACAGACACACAGGCAGACACUCACUGGCAUACAUACACUCACUGACAGACACACACAGGCAGACACUCACUGACAGACACACACACAGGCAGACACACAUUCACUGACAGACACACACAGACAGACACUCAUGGACAGACACACACAGACAAACACUCACUGACAUACAUUCACUCACUCGCAAACACACACACAGGCAGACACACACUCACUGACAAACACACACACAGGCAGACACUCACUGACAUACACUCACUCACUCACUCACUCACUGACAGACAAAAACACUACCUGACAGUUAAACACUCAUACACUCACAGAUUCAGACAUCCAGCUUCCUUACCUCCCUGGCGUCCAGUGUGGGGCAGCUCCUGCCUCCUCCAGAACGCUGUUUAGUG
Molecule: non-coding RNA, 553 nt
Organism: Pelobates cultripes (western spadefoot toad)
Lineage: Eukaryota; Metazoa; Chordata; Amphibia; Anura; Pelobatidae
Source: the annotation of a GenBank genome assembly